Molecule: ribosomal RNA, 637 nt
Filed under: uncultured bacterium
Lineage: Bacteria
Description: bacterial SSU rRNA
Rfam family: Bacterial small subunit ribosomal RNA
Source: RNAcentral
GCUCAACCGAGGAAGUGCUUCGAAAACUGGUAAACUUGAGUGCAGAAGAGGAAAGUGGAACUCCAUGUGUAGCGGUGGAAUGCGUAGAUAUAUGGAAGAACACCAGUGGCGAAGGCGGCUUUCUGGUCUGUAACUGACGCUGAGAUUCGAAAGCAUGGGUAGCAAACAGGAUUAGAUACCCUGGUAGUCCAUGCCGUAAACGAUGAGUGCUAAGUGUUGGAGGGUUUCCGCCCUUCAGUGCUGCAGCUAACGCAUUAAGCACUCCGCCUGGGGAGUACGAUCGCAAGAUUGAAACUCAAAGGAAUUGACGGGGGCCCGCACAAGCGGUGGAGCAUGUGGUUUAAUUCGAAGCAACGCGAAGAACCUUACCAGGUCUUGACAUACCAUGAAAAGGUAAGAGAUUAGUCUUUCCCUUCGGGGACAUGGAUACAGGUGGUGCAUGGUUGUCGUCAGCUCGUGUCGUGAGAUGUUGGGUUAAGUCCCGCAACGAGCGCAACCCUUAUUAUCAGUUGCCAGCAUUCAGUUGGGCACUCUGGUGAGACUGCCGGUGACAAACCGGAGGAAGGUGGGGACGACGUCAAAUCAUCAUGCCCCUUAUGACCUGGGCUACACACGUGCUACAAUGGUCGGUACAACG